This 246-nucleotide ribosomal RNA is filed under the name uncultured bacterium. RNAcentral's name for it is "partial 16S ribosomal RNA". It matches the Rfam family "Bacterial small subunit ribosomal RNA", at positions 523 to 769 of the family's 1533-position model. The record is from RNAcentral.
GUACGUAGGGGGCAGCGUUGUCCGGAAUUACUGGGCGUAAAGGGUGCGUAGGUGGCCUUUUAAGUUGGAUGUGAAAUACCCGGGCUUAACCUGGGGGGUGCAUCUAAUACUGGGAGGCUAGAGUGCAGGAGAGGAAAGCGGAAUUCCUAGUGUAGUGGUGAAAUGCGUAGAUAUUAGGAGGAACACCAGUGGCGAAGGCGGCUUUCUGGACUGUAACUGACACUGAGGCACGAAAGCGUGGGGAGC